AGUGAACGCUGGCGGUAGGCCUAACACAUGCAAGUCGAACGGCAGCACAGUAAGAGCUUGCUCUUACGGGUGGCGAGUGGCGGACGGGUGAGGAAUACAUCGGAAUCUACUUUUUCGUGGGGGAUAACGUAGGGAAACUUACGCUAAUACCGCAUACGACCUACGGGUGAAAGCAGUGGAUCGUCGGACCUUGCGCGAUUGAAUGAGCCGAUGUCGGAUUAGCUAGUUGGCGGGGUAAAGGCCCACCAAGGCGACGAUCCGUAGCUGGUCUGAGAGGAUGAUCGCCCACACUGGAACUGAGACACGGUCCAGACUCCUACGGGAGGCAGCAGUGGGGAAUAUUGGACAGUGGGCGCAAGCCUGAUCCAGCGAUCCCGCGUGGGUGAAGAAGGCCUUCGGGUUGUAAAGCCCUUUUGUUGGGAAAGAAAAGCAGCAGGUUAAUACCCCGCUGUUCUGACGGUACCCAAAGAAUAAGCACCGGCUAACUUCGUG
This 492-nucleotide ribosomal RNA is filed under the name uncultured bacterium. Its description in RNAcentral is "partial 16S ribosomal RNA". It matches the Rfam family "Bacterial small subunit ribosomal RNA", at positions 29 to 507 of the family's 1533-position model. The record is from RNAcentral.